This 427-nucleotide ribosomal RNA is filed under the name uncultured Brevibacillus sp. RNAcentral's name for it is "partial 16S ribosomal RNA". It matches the Rfam family "Bacterial small subunit ribosomal RNA", at positions 355 to 774 of the family's 1533-position model. The record is from RNAcentral. Lineage: Bacteria; Bacillati; Bacillota; Bacilli; Caryophanales; Paenibacillaceae.
UAGGGAAUUUUCCACAAUGGGCGAAAGCCUGAUGGAGCAACGCCGCGUGAACGAAGAAGGUCUUCGGAUUGUAAAGUUCUGUUGUCAGGGACGAACAAGUACCGUUCGAACAGGGCGGUACCUUGACGGUACCUGACGAGAAAGCCACGGCUAACUACGUGCCAGCAGCCGCGGUAAUACGUAGGUGGCAAGCGUUGUCCGGAAUUAUUGGGCGUAAAGCGCGCGCAGGCGGCUAUGUAAGUCGGGUGUUAAAGCCCGGGGCUCAACCCCGGUACGCACCCGAAACUGCGUGGCUUGAGUGCAGGAGAGGAAAGCGGUAUUCCACGUGUAGCGGUGAAAUGCGUAGAGAUGUGGAGGAACACCAGUGGCGAAGGCGGCUUUCUGGCCUGUAACUGACGCUGAGGCGCGAAAGCGUGGGGAGCAAACA